Molecule: microRNA precursor, 68 nt
Filed under: Gallus gallus (chicken)
Lineage: Eukaryota; Metazoa; Chordata; Aves; Galliformes; Phasianidae
Description: Gga-Mir-1728_pre stem-loop
Source: RNAcentral
UGGUUGAUCCAUUGGAAGACUGAGCUUGAGGGUGAAAGAGGUAAACAGGCUUCUGUAGAUCAGCCAGC